UACGGAGGGUGCAAGCGUUAUUCGGACUGACUGGGCGUAAAGCGCGCGUAGGCGGUGUGUUAAGUCGGAUGUGAAAGCCCAGGGCUCAACCUUGGAAUUGCAUCCGAUACUGGCACGCUAGAGUGCAGUAGAGGGAGGUGGAAUUUCCGGUGUAGCGGUGAAAUGCGUAGAGAUCGGAAGGAACACCAGUGGCGAAGGCGGCCUCCUGGACUGAUACUGACACUGAGGUGCGAAAGCGUGGGUAGCAAACAGG
This 253-nucleotide unclassified non-coding RNA is filed under the name uncultured Alcanivoracaceae bacterium. RNAcentral describes it as "contains 16S-23S intergenic spacer region". It matches the Rfam family "Bacterial small subunit ribosomal RNA", at positions 524 to 776 of the family's 1533-position model. The record is from RNAcentral. Lineage: Bacteria; Pseudomonadati; Pseudomonadota; Gammaproteobacteria; Oceanospirillales; Alcanivoracaceae.